AAGCAACGCGAAGAUCCUUACCAGGCUUUGACAUCCCUCUGACGAUAUCUAGAGAUAGUAUUUUCCUUUUGAUCAGAGGUUACAGCUGGUGCAUGGUUGUCGUCUAGCUCGUGUCGUGAGAUGUUGGGUUAAGUCCCGCAACGAGCGCUACCCUUAUUAAUAGUUGCCAGCAGUGUUAGAUGGGCACUCUAGCGAGACUGCCGGCGACAACGCUCGGAGGAUAGGUGGGGACGACGUCAUAUCAUCAUGCCCGUUAUAUCCUGGGCUACACACGUACUACAAUGGCUACAACUAGAGGGAAGCGAAGCAGCGAUGUGGAGCCAAUCCCCAAAAGUAGUCCCAGUUCGGAUUGUAGGCUGCAACUCGCCUACAUGAAGUCGGAAUUGCUAGUAAUCGCGGAUCAGCAUGCUCUCGGUGAAUACGUUCCCGGGCAUUGUACACACCGCCCGUCACACCAUGAGAGCCGGUUACACCCGAAGCCUUAGAGCGUACCUGAUGGAUGCAGCAGUCGAAG
This 514-nucleotide ribosomal RNA is filed under the name uncultured organism. RNAcentral describes it as "bacterial SSU rRNA". It matches the Rfam family "Bacterial small subunit ribosomal RNA", at positions 954 to 1461 of the family's 1533-position model. The record is from RNAcentral.